GUUAUAACACGGUCACAUUAACUAGACGCACGGUUUGAUGACGUCAUUACGGAGCGUGCAUGUUAUUGCAUUCCAAAAAUGCGUCAAUUUAAUG
Long non-coding RNA from Aricia agestis (brown argus), 94 nucleotides. RefSeq lists it as uncharacterized. The record is from RefSeq and is a predicted model, not a curated record. The transcript is spliced from 3 exons. NCBI's taxonomy places the organism in Eukaryota, Metazoa, Arthropoda, Insecta, Lepidoptera, Lycaenidae.